GCAUUGUAUGGCUUCUAAACCAUUAAAAGUUUUUUAUUUAUUUUACUAACGACAAUGGAUGUGAUGCCAAUGUUAUUUAUAACAUAGUAAAUUGGGAGGAUCUUCGAUCAUCUGAUGCCGCGCUAGUUAUAUUUGAAAACAUUAUUUAAUACAAUGUCAAAGCCUAGAAUCAAUUGUAAACGACUUUUGUAACAGGCAAGGUGUUGUAAGUGGUUGAGCAGCUGCCAUACUGCGAUCCACUAAAGCUUAUCUUUUGCUUGAUGAUUC
Molecule: non-coding RNA, 267 nt
Filed under: Drosophila virilis
Lineage: Eukaryota; Metazoa; Arthropoda; Insecta; Diptera; Drosophilidae
Description: Eukaryotic large subunit ribosomal RNA
Rfam family: Eukaryotic large subunit ribosomal RNA
Source: Rfam by way of RNAcentral